Molecule: long non-coding RNA, 261 nt
Filed under: Coffea arabica (coffee)
Lineage: Eukaryota; Viridiplantae; Streptophyta; Magnoliopsida; Gentianales; Rubiaceae
Description: long non-coding RNA (CARA_LNC006582)
Source: RNAcentral
UUGCAUUUAAUUACACCUAUACGCACUUCUCACUAUAUUUCAUACACUUGCACACAAACACUUGGAAUUUUCAUACAAUUGCACACGUGCACCUUUCCAUACACUUGCACACAAACACUUGGAUUUUUAAUUUCUUUCAUACACUUCCACACUUGCACAUUUGAGUCUCAUUUGCAUUAAUCGACCUCUAUGGGGUUUUCCUUUGUUGGCCGCCACAAUUCAUGUGGUUUGGGACCAAAAGCCUCACGAGAGACAUCGUAG